CCGCUGCCCCACCCCGCCCCAGCGGGCACCUGGGUCCUGCCAGGGGACCUCAGACCUUCACUAUAUCUUGUAUCUUAUGUCUGCCUCACCCUACUUCCCCCAUCCACCCUUCGGUCUGAACAUCUCUGUUUAGCCCAAGUAGGGAUAAGGACACCGAGGUUUCAGACUCCAGGCCUGUGGAGUCUCAAGAGUGGAAAAACCAAGGAAGGAUGCUGGAGGCAGAGGCAGAUAGGGGUGUAGGAGACAGGAGAGCCUCCACCCCACUCCCCACCAGGUCAGGGUUCUUGACACAAGCUCCUGGAGGCCUGAACCUUCUCUGCUGUAGACCAGACCUGGUCCAGUAGGAGGUACCAUCAUGAGAGUUGACAUCGGCUUAGUAUGGGAAAGAAAUGCACACAUUGGCGUUGUUGGUCAUGUGAGGACACAGCAAGAGGGUGACAGUCUGCAAGCCAGGAAGAGAGGCUCCACCAGAAAGCAACCCUGCCCACCCUUGGAUCUUGGACUUCCAGCCUCCACAAGUGAACAAGCAGCUUGAAAGAUCACCCUGAUAAAAACGAUCUACAAUCCACAACCUGAAGAUUGAAUAUACUUCAAAGUUCAUCAGAGGAAAGAAGCAUCAAUCAAACUCCCCCGAAGGGAAUCGUCCCAGCUUGGACGUACCACCCACGUAUCCUGGUCCAGGCUUCCCACCUCAAGAGCGCACGGGCGCCAGUGACAGCUUUUUAUGCCUAUUUCAUGGACUUUUACCCUUAGCCUUAAGAGCAUCUUGGUGCACAUUUUAUAUUGGCUCCGUAUUUGCUCUCUAGGUGCCAACGGACACUUAUCCUAACAAAGGAGUCUGGGAAUGGGCCACUUUCUGAGCAACAUAUGAAAUUGCAACGUUAAAGGAGUAAUUCUGCCACUAACCUCUCUUUUGCAAGGGAAAAACUUAAGCAAAUUAACAAUUUUUCCCCACUGGAUGAAGAGGGCCUUGCUCAAUUCUUACCUCAAAAUUUAAAAACACAGGGAGUGUGUUGGCCCCUCUCUUUUGGAGAAGAGACCGAAUGAUGAGGUCAGUAUUGCCAGGUCACCACGGCAGUGGCCCCACUGUCCCUUCUGAAUGCACAGGGUUGCUUUGGGGUCUUGCUUAUAAGGUACAGAAACUGUGCCAUUUCAAAGUGGAAAGGAUCUUCCCCUCCAGAGAGAAAAGGACUAUCCAAAAGAUUAGAAAAAAAUUCCAAAAUCGUUUAUGGGCUUUUGUCUGAUUACUGUUUUAUGGUUUUGGUAUGUCAAAAUCCAGGGAUAAAAAUAUUACACUUUCCUUCAACUAUUCUUUCUGUUCAUAAAGAAACUUCUUAUUUCCAAGUAUUGGGUCACGUCUCAUGGGAUAUCCAUGAUACUGUUGCCCCUCCUCUGGGAAGACUUUUGAAGCCUGGGGAUGCAAAACAGUUGUUUUUGAUUGCUGCUGGAAUAAGACCA
Molecule: long non-coding RNA, 1458 nt
Organism: Neofelis nebulosa (Clouded leopard)
Lineage: Eukaryota; Metazoa; Chordata; Mammalia; Carnivora; Felidae
Exons: 4
Source: RefSeq, a predicted model, not a curated record